UGCUAGUGGAACAACCACGAGGUGGUUGGUUAAUUUUCCAGGUUUUUCUUCGUCAUCCCCAGGGAUACUGAUUGUAUAACGUGUGCUAUAUUUGUCCUGGUGACGUUUGAAACUGAAAAAAACCAGGGACCACGUGUUGAUGCAUAAAACUUUAGUGUCUAAGUGUCGUGGUUUCUUCGCAGGCACCCCAUCUGAAAAUCUUCUGGCGCCCUAAAUUAAGAAUAUGGAGGGAUUCAACAUAAUAUAAAUUGUUUUGGUGACCAUUGCAAUGACAUAUCUGUUUAAUGGGAGGUUAAAAAAAUAAUUUCUACACGCGAUGCCAUAAUGCUGUAUUGCAAUUUAUGCAAGAUACGACAUGAAUUAUUGAAGCAAUCUGUCCAGGACCUCAAAUAACACUGACCUACAAUCGUUUGACCUUGCUGAAGUGGGAAAAAUGGAAUAAGUAUAAACACUUAGAAGGUUUUAAAUUUCGUGAAUCAAAUAUUUAUAUAUCUACUUAGUUCAGUUUUCGUAUUAUGGGUGGCACUCACCUGAGGAAAUUUAUGCCAACAGCCACCUAAGUUUUGAGACAAUUCUAUAUAAAAAAAUAUUUAUAUUUAUACGUUAAAAAGAAAAAAAUUAAAAUACAAUUCCUUUGAACAUU
This is a long non-coding RNA of Aethina tumida (small hive beetle), 643 nucleotides long. RefSeq lists it as uncharacterized. The transcript is spliced from 4 exons. Lineage: Eukaryota; Metazoa; Arthropoda; Insecta; Coleoptera; Nitidulidae. The record is from RefSeq and is a predicted model, not a curated record.